Molecule: long non-coding RNA, 1000 nt
Organism: Lolium rigidum
Lineage: Eukaryota; Viridiplantae; Streptophyta; Magnoliopsida; Poales; Poaceae
Exons: 3
Source: RefSeq, a predicted model, not a curated record
CCAGGGCCACGUGCACGGCAGCUGCCACUCAAGCUCAUUCAAGGUUGUCUUGAUGUCCCUCCGUGGAGACGGAGACGAAGACGAAGACGAGUACAACAAUACUACACCCAUCGCUUGUGUAUACUCUUCGGAGACUGGCGUUUGGGGCAAUAUCAUCGCAGCAGCGGAUCAAUGUGAGCUUGCGGAUAGUAAUCCUGGAAUCCUUGUUGGCAAUGUCCUUUACUGGUCAUCUAAGAGUGUGAGUAACACAACUAUUUUUAUUGAUGAUCUCACGGACGACAUUGUUGAGUUUGAUUUGGAUAGGCAGAGUCUAGCUGUGAUCAAGGGUCCUCCAUGUCUUAAUUUCUCCCUCAGACAUCAGAUAAUCAGGGCAGAGCAUGAUGCUCUUGGUAUUGCUAUAUUUUCGCACUGUAGAUUCGAAGUGUGGCAGAGGAUGGUCAAUUGUCAUGGUGGUACUACAUGGUUGCUGCACAACGCCUUUGAAACGCAUACUCUUCUUGGACUCCCUCCUAGGAUUAGAGGGAUGAAAAUACUCGGGUAUGAUGAGGAUAAUGAUGCAAUUUUUCUAUUUGUGGACGCCAAUGUCUACAUGGUUCAACUUCUGUCCAUGCAAUUCAGAAGACUUUAUGAAAGCUGUUAUCCCAUCAACUGUCAUCCUUUUGCAAGUUUCUAUGCACCAGACAUUGCAAUUCCCGAUGGAUGCAGUGGAGUUGGAAUAUUGCACGGUGCAUAGAAAUAUAGAAUGAUUGUCGGUCUCAUGUGCCGAGCUGCUGGAAUUGUUCAACAGGUGAAGUAAUGGUUGCUGCAGUUCCCACCAUUUUGUCGCAUUGCAUCAGUGCACUUGGCAGUUUGUAUAUAUGCUUUCCGGAAGAACAUGCUAAACGCGUGCGGUAGUAUCAAAGUUCCUAAUGUAAAAAGAUGUGAUAUUGAUAUCUAAUCAAGGGAAGUUCGGCCUUCCCAACCUAUAAUUCUAUAAAGGUUUGGUUGUAUCGUUUCUACA